This 399-nucleotide ribosomal RNA is filed under the name uncultured bacterium. RNAcentral's name for it is "bacterial SSU rRNA". It matches the Rfam family "Bacterial small subunit ribosomal RNA", at positions 509 to 906 of the family's 1533-position model. The record is from RNAcentral.
CAGCAGCCGCGGUAAUACGGAGGGUGCAAGCGUUAAUCGGAAUUACUGGGCGUAAAGGGCGCGUAGGCGGUUCGGUCAGUCGGAGGUGAAAGCCCUGGGCUCAACCUGGGAGGUGCCUUCGAUACGGCCGGACUUGAGAGCGGGAGAGGAUGACGGAAUUCCCAGUGUAGAGGUGAAAUUCGUAGAUAUUGGGAAGAACACCAGAGGCGAAGGCGGUUACCUGGACAGUUGCUGACGCUCAGGCACGAAAGCAUGGGGAGCAAAAGGGAUUAGAUACCCCUGUAGUCCAUGCCCUAAACGGUGCACACUAGGUCUUAGCGGAUUCGACCCCACUAGGGCCCAAGCUAACGCGUUAAGUGUGCCGCCUGAGGACUACGGUCGCAAGACUAAAACUCAAAG